UACGGGAGGCAGCAGUGGGGAAUAUUGGACAAUGGGCGCAAGCCUGAUCCAGCAAUGCCGCGUGAGUGAAGAAGGCCUUCGGGUUGUAAAGCACUUUCGGACGGAACGAAAUCGCGCGGGUGAAUAUCCCGCGUGGAUGACGGUACCGUAAGAAGAAGCACCGGCUAACUAC
This 172-nucleotide ribosomal RNA is filed under the name uncultured bacterium. Its description in RNAcentral is "partial 16S ribosomal RNA". It matches the Rfam family "Bacterial small subunit ribosomal RNA", at positions 340 to 504 of the family's 1533-position model. The record is from RNAcentral.